AAAUUGAAGAGUUUGAUCAUGGCUCAGAUUGAACGCUGGCGGCAGGCCUAACACAUGCAAGUCGAACGGUAACAGGAAGAAGCUUGCUUCUUUGCUGACGAGUGGCGGACGGGUGAGUAAUGUCUGGGAAACUGCCUGAUGGAGGGGGAUAACUACUGGAAACGGUAGCUAAUACCGCAUAACGUCGCAAGACCAAAGAGGGGGACCUUCGGGCCUCUUGCCAUCGGAUGUGCCCAGAUGGGAUUAGCUAGUAGGUGGGGUAACGGCUCACCUAGGCGACGAUCCCUAGCUGGUCUGAGAGGAUGACCAGCCACACUGGAACUGAGACACGGUCCAGACUCCUACGGGAGGCAGCAGUGGGGAAUAUUGCACAAUGGGCGCAAGCCUGAUGCAGCCAUGCCGCGUGUAUGAAGAAGGCCUUCGGGUUGUAAAGUACUUUCAGCGGGGAGGAAGGGAGUAAAGUUAAUACCUUUGCUCAUUGACGUUACCCGCAGAAGAAGCACCGGCUAACUCCGUGCCAGCAGCCGCGGUAAUACGGAGGGUGCAAGCGUUAAUCGGAAUUACUGGGCGUAAAGCGCACGCAGGCGGUUUGUUAAGUCAGAUGUGAAAUCCCCGGGCUCAACCUGGGAACUGCAUCUGAUACUGGCAAGCUUGAGUCUCGUAGAGGGGGGUAGAAUUCCAGGUGUAGCGGUGAAAUGCGUAGAGAUCUGGAGGAAUACCGGUGGCGAAGGCGGCCCCCUGGACGAAGACUGACGCUCAGGUGCGAAAGCGUGGGGAGCAAACAGGAUUAGAUACCUGGUAGUCCACGCCGUAAACGAUGUCGACUUGGAGGUUGUGCCCUUGAGGCGUGGCUUCCGGAGCUAACGCGUUAAGUCGACCGCCUGGGGAGUACGGCCGCAAGGUUAAAACUCAAAUGAAUUGACGGGGGCCCGCACAAGCGGUGGAGCAUGUGGUUUAAUUCGAUGCAACGCGAAGAACCUUACCUGGUCUUGACAUCCACGGAAGUUUUCAGAGAUGAGAAUGUGCCUUCGGGAACCGUGAGACAGGUGCUGCAUGGCUGUCGUCAGCUCGUGUUGUGAAAUGUUGGGUUAAGUCCCGCAACGAGCGCAACCCUUAUCCUUUGUUGCCAGCGGUCCGGCCGGGAACUCAAAGGAGACUGCCAGUGAUAAACUGGAGGAAGGUGGGGAUGACGUCAAGUCAUCAUGGCCCUUACGACCAGGGCUACACACGUGCUACAAUGGCGCAUACAAAGAGAAGCGACCUCGCGAGAGCAAGCGGACCUCAUAAAGUGCGUCGUAGUCCGGAUUGGAGUCUGCAACUCGACUCCAUGAAGUCGGAAUCGCUAGUAAUCGUGGAUCAGAAUGCCACGGUGAAUACGUUCCCGGGCCUUGUACACACCGCCCGUCACACCAUGGGAGUGGGUUGCAAAAGAAGUAGGUAGCUUAACCUUCGGGAGGGCGCUUACCACUUUGUGAUUCAUGACUGGGGUGAAGUCGUAACAAGGUAACCGUAGGGGAACCUGCGGUUGGAUCACCUCCUUA
RNAcentral lists this ribosomal RNA (1541 nucleotides) under Escherichia coli. RNAcentral's name for it is "bacterial SSU rRNA". It matches the Rfam family "Bacterial small subunit ribosomal RNA". The record is from RNAcentral. Lineage: Bacteria; Pseudomonadati; Pseudomonadota; Gammaproteobacteria; Enterobacterales; Enterobacteriaceae.